AUGGCUGAGAGAGGUUUGCGCAUCCACCUGAAACAGGAAUCAGAGGAAAAACACCUGCAGAAACCUGGAAUUGAUGCUGAACCAUCAGCAUUGAUUACUCAUCCACAGAUAUUAAAGGAAAACCACAAACCAUUAUGGGUUUAUUUCCUCUCACGAGCUCCUGGGGAACAGAAGAACAUCUUUUUAAGCCAUGUGUAAUAGUAGAACAUUAAAAGUUCUCUUACAGUACUGAAGCAGGAUGAAAUGUGUGGAAUUAAAGGUCAGCGUCGUAGCUCAUUAGCUGAUUAACAGUAUUUUAUUAUUUUUAAUAGAAAGUCCAACUCUCACUGCAGGUACAAAAACAGAGAGCUGGUGUAGCAGCAGGGCUGAAUAUGUCAAAUCAAAGGGGAAGAGGAGAGAGAAAGAAAAGCUUUUCCCUUGUUUAUAAUUACAGAAUUCAUUCAUUGUACAUUCCUUAAUCCCAGAGCUGUACAUUAGCAGACAAGCUGAAGAUCAACUGUAUAUUAGACUGUAUUAACCCUUUGUGUUGACGGAAGAAGUUUACGUUGUUUAGUGCUCGCUGAUUGUCUCCAAGCCUCUCGUCAACACAAGUCACGUCUCCAGGCAUGGGGAGCUUUUCUUUUCUUACAGCAGAGGCACAUUUCAAAGGACGAGGUGCUGGAGAAGCCUGGAACCGUAGGAAGGUGCAGAAGGUGCCACCCUGCUGACGUCACGUUGGAGCUUCUCACUAACCAUCAUCAACAAAACAGUAAAGGACGCGUUCACCUCAAAAACUGGUCAUUAACGACUUCGCGUAAGGUCCGACCAAACCUUGUGGUUUCCUUUGCAGAUAAAGAUUUGAUUGUCUUACACGGUUUAUCCAACCACGUACAUUAUUAAGUAUUAUACCUGUCACGUUGUUACAGCAGUGCAGCACAAAUGUGAGAUGAGCAUGGAUGGAUGGACCUACGCAACCUGGGCCCUGUGCCCAAGAGCCUCUGGGACGUGAAUGCUGGUAUUAUUUGUUGACAGACAUCAUCACAGCAGAGACAGAAGACAAUUAGACCCAAAUGAACCCAGAGACAAAAAAAAUGGAGGAUCCAUCCAUGCCCAAACGUGUAGCUUGUUAUGGUCAGAAAUUCAAUGAUUAAUAUUUCUCAGGAUGUGAAUUUACUUUAUCUAAUGCAGUAGUUUGUCUUUUCGUAACACGGGUGAAUUCUUUACCAGUCAGUGUUCACACUAGUUCUGAAUGUGGUUAUCUGUAGUUUUAAAGCCUUUACACAAGUGAAGGAUUUUAACUUGAGCAGGUGGGAUUUAAAGGGUUAAAGUGAUGAUCGGCAGAAUCCGUGUCCACAGAGACGGCGUCUUCAUCAGACGGUGGACUAAAACCCUUCUCGUCAUUUGAAGGCCUCCCAGGAUCUGUGCUUAUCACGGCUCCUCCUGGACGUGAAGAUGCAUCUUCUUGAUUGGUAGAAACCUGAGUUCAUCACGUUUGCAUUGACAGCUCGCUGGCUGUCGGCUGCAGGCAGGCGAGGGACCCGGCAUCUCGUACAGAGCCACCGCUUGUGGAAGCUGAAGGUUUGAUCGACACGUUUGUGCUCAAGUGACUCGUUCACCUGGUCUUCGGGUACCAGGUCUGUUUGUACAAGAUACUGAUCAUUCAACUGAAGUACUGGUUUCUGGAUUUCUGCUGCUCAGCAGGCUGACCCGGCCAAAUCAGACAGGUUUGAGUAAUUCUGCUCUACAGCACAGAGCCGUGUUUACUGGUGGAGGCUGCUCUGCUCAGUGAAGCAAACUUUACCGUGCCCCUUUUUCUGUUUCCGAGGCGACGGCGUCAUCUCAGAGGCUACUUGAGGUUUAAAUGCUUCUACAGCUACACAGAGCUAAAACGCCAGUACAACAAUGAUCAUAGCUCUUUGAAUGCAUACGUUAUAUUUCUAUGUUCAGAUUUCCCUCUGUGAAGUAAAUAAAUACAGUACUUCUGUUUCCUGAUGCGUUCUG
Long non-coding RNA from Betta splendens (Siamese fighting fish), 1980 nucleotides. NCBI's taxonomy places the organism in Eukaryota, Metazoa, Chordata, Actinopteri, Anabantiformes, Osphronemidae. The record is from Ensembl.